GGGGGAGAGACCCUCGACGGCCGGGCCGGCAAGAAAUACAGAUGGAAAAGAAGACACGGGUAAAAGAGAGAAGUGUUGUUCCUGCAAGCAGAGCAUCCUGUCUCCGAGACAGUGACCAAUAUUUGGAACCAUCCCUUGGCAUUGACAAUUCAGCUGGAAGUAGAACAUGUCCAGGCCAAUCUUUGGACCAAAUCCUGCUGGUAAGAAUUGUGUACCAAAGUAACUUUUUGAUGAGUUACUCCUAGUUUGCUUUAAGUAUCUCAACAAGUCAGUCUGAAGAUGUCUGCUGACACCAGGAAGGCAGAGCUUGCGCUCAGCAUAAUCACUUUCUUCCAUAUAAGUAGUAGGGAUGAUGAGGAGCAUAUUGUCAAUAAAACACAGAGGUUAUUUACAAUUCAACUUCUAAAAGCUGCCAUAAAGCAGUGAAUAGCAAUGAAUAAGUCCAAAGCCAUUCUACUUGGUUUUGGUUUCUACUUUAUUUUCCCAGAGCUCGUAUUUUCAAAGGGACAAAGCAGAGACACCCAGAGGAAAGGAAGUCUGAUUCUAAGAAGCUGUAAAAAGGCAUGCAUGGCCACAGAUCAGGGAAUAAUUUUAUGUCUCACAUGUUUUCUGACCCUACGAAGAGCAGCUUUAAAAUGUUGUUCUCUUCCGUGAAGCAGACUCCAUAGUUUACAAAAGAAGAAGGGGAGUAAUCCUGCAAAAGUAGAUCCAUAACAAAAUCUUGGUCACUGAGGCCAGAAGGACCCCUUCCCCACCCCUCUGCCUGUGGCAGGAUUGAUUUAAUUAUUCUAUAACUGUUCCUGUAGAUGGGUGUCUGGCCUUGAAUAACUCCAACAACAGUGAUUGUCCAAUGGUUCUUGGCAGCCUGUCCAACUGCUGAACAGUUCUUCUACAGUUUUGCCUAAUAUUUAACCUAAAACUUCCCUUCUGCUUCAGCCAAUUAUUAUUUGUUUCAUCCUUGUUAACUAAUGAGAAUAAUUGAUCUUUGUCCUCUUUAUAACAUUCCUUUAUGUCUCCCGUUAUUAUGUUCCCCACACUCCUCUUGCCUUUAGGCUAAAGGUGCCAAGUUAUCUUAACCUUUCCUCCUAGAUCUGAAUGCCAAACUUCUUACCAUCUUUCAUACACUCCUCUAAAUUCUUCAGUUUGUCCACGUUUUUUCAUACAGAAUUGAAUGCAGUUACUCCAGUUAUGCUUUAACCAGUGCCAAGCAGAGCGCAAUAAUUACUUCAGUAACCUUACUGACCCCAUCUAAUAACAAAGGCAAAAUGCAGCAUGUAAUUAAAAUCUAAAAAAAUAACUAUUUUUAAAAGCUAAUUGCCUUAACAAUCAGAACAUUCUCCAGCUCAGAGAACACACACUAAAGAAUUUAAAGGUUAUUGUUCAUUCAAAACAUCUUUUUCAAUUAUAUUCUGUAUAUUGUAUUCUGGGUUAUGCACAGCUUUACUCCUACUAGGAACGGUCUGUACUGCGUCUCUCACACUCCCUCCCCCUCUCUUUAUUUCCCGCAGUUUUAACUCCUAAUGGCUCAAUGGGGCCCCGUCUACACUGGGGAUGUGUGCUAAGGACUUCCCACUGUUGUGAGCCCUUCUCCAGCUCCACCAGUAUGGCACAGUACAGAACUCCCACUCAUGCUUUUAAUCCUUUAGGCUAUUACUACAUCUUCCAGUCUCACUAAUGUCAGUGGAGCAGAGCCAAUGGUGAGGCAUUUUUAGAAAGUUUCCUUUACACAGACACAGUUUUCAUCUCCUUUGCCAAGUCUGUGGUGCCCUACCUUGAACAAUCCCCUUCUCUCUGUUCACUGGCUGGUCUCUUAAAAACUCCUCUGUCCUGCAGCGAGCUGCACACUCUCUUCACAUUCACUGGCACUGUAUAUGCCCAUAUUGCUUUCUAACUGCAUGUAUGGCUGCUUUUCAUUUGUCAUGUGUUUAGGAAUGGAAAUCCUCGUCACAUCCCAGCAGAAACCAUGCAACUUCUCUAUCGUUAUGCUAACAACAGCCAUUCUUAGAAAUACAUGGAUUUCUGUAAUCCCCAAAAACAAGCAAAUUUGGCUCCAUCAACAGGAAUUGCAAACUCAGACUGCAAACCCACUUGACUAAGCAGAGACAUUUAAUUAAAUUGUCUUUCUAUUACACUGAUAAGCAAUCAAAGCUAUGACUGUUGUUAGUAGAAGUAAUAGUUUCUAUUCUUGUUGCUCCAUAGUACCUUAAUUAAAUCACAAUUGUUCUGUUGGAAAACACAUCUGUGAGCACCUCUAAGUAGAAAACAGUGAAAAAUAUUCCUAGCAAAACAAAAAUCAAUUAGUAGUGCAAUACUGUUUGGUAGAUAGGACAAAAAGGAAUUGGGUUAAGAUUGCAAUAGAAAAGUCAGGCUUGACAUAGAGAAAACCUGUCAGUGAGGCACUGAAAAAUAUUGACUGUGAAAGGAGUCUCCAGUACUGAAUUAUCUUCUAGUACAAUUGAAAUGCACAGCUGCAGGAAUGAUACAGCCAUAACUGAUUCUACCUGGAUCCAAACCAAUGAUUGAAGAUCUGUGAAGACUCUUUCAGCCCUGUUCUUCUAUGACUUUACUUUGUUCUAAAUUUUUAAAGAAUCAAGUAAAAUCAUGCUCUCAUUUACAUGCAUUUGAGCCUGUUAUAUUUUGUAAAGGUUGCAUAUUUACAAAUGAGAUCAGAAUUUGGCUUCUUAUAAUAACACAUUGUAACGUGCCAGAAAUUGUUCCAUAACAACGAAAGAGCAAAGUACCUUGCUGUAUAGGUCUUGUUCCUUAACCAAUACAUACCAUACAAGGCAAAAUAAUCCCUGCUUUUUAUAGCAAGGUCUUGUUCAAGUGUGUGUGUAAGAUCUGCUCAUAUUGCUAAGUAAAGUAACACAUCUGCACAUCCUCCACCCAGAGCAAAGGGGGCUCUGGAGGAUUGAAUGAAAUCAGACAGAAAUACCACCUGAAAACCUACAGUGUAUAAUAUCCAUUAGUUGGAGUCCAGGCAAACACAGACUUACAAGAGCCAGUGUGUUCGUGUGGUUCUUUGGCAGUUAGGUAUUUUCUUUCUUCUUUAUUUAUUACAAUUCUCUGGAUAGUGAUUAAAUUUCAUAGCUCCGUAUUUUUUUUUUCCACUUACCUUGAAAUAAGAUUUGCACACAUUUUCAUAACUAGAUUAAAAAGCUGCCAACUGGCCUUUUAAACAAUUCUCAGUGCUUUCAGAAGAGUUGUUUGUGGCUUCUUACAUAUGAGUACUUCCCUGAAGCCACUUCAGGAACUGAUCCCCUGUCCCACACAAUACAGCUUUACCCUCUCUGUCCAGGAGCAGGAAGGCAGUUCUGAUUAAAAUAUGCCAGGACACAAAAUCUCCUUUGUAUUACACCAGAAAAUUCUACAAUAAGACUCGAUUUAAAGCCUAUUUAGGUCAGAUAGAGGCUUGCCAUUAACAAAGUUAGUUUUGGGACAGGCCCUUAAAAUAUGGGUCUUAAGGACAGGAAAGCUGCCAUACACACCAUAGUUCUUAGGGAAAUCGCUGAGGUCAGCAGAGGUUUAUUGCCUUCAGCAGAUCACCGAGGUCAGCAGAUGCUCAGUGGGACAAGAAAUUUGUGCUGAUCCAAAGCUAUCAGAAAAAUGAGUAAGAAGGUGGGAAGACUCUGAAAAGUGUGUAUCCUCCCCAGAUGUCAUUCACCUGUGGGCUGUCAGUGCUGCAGCAGCUUGGAAAACCAAGCAGACAUCCCUACUGAGCCACGCUGGAUUUCACAAGUGACUAAAGAGGUCAGCACUCCCACAUCAUGUAGAAAUGGUGGCAUGAUGUGGUUUCUAUUUUUAAAUUAAAUUUAAGAUUCCAUCCCCUAAUUCACACAAAAGCUAACAAAAUAUGGUGUUUUUUUAAUUAUGUACAAAUCAGCAUUAUAAAAUAAAUUAAGUAAAUAUUUCCCUUGGCAAGAAAAUAUGAAAUACCUCAUUCUCUUAACAUGCAAGUUUUAUAUUUACAAAGCAUAAAGUGUCUCACAUUUCCAUAAUGUGUUAGUAGCAUGAAAUAUUUUUAGCUCCAAUGCCUUAAACAAAGCUGGAGUUACUGUCUGCAGUGCCCUUAAGCUAUAUGUUGUAGUCUUCACAAGACUGAAACAAAACACAUAGAGCAGAGAGCAGUAACCACAUUAAGGUUUAACACUUAUAAACACAGAAGGUUUAACACUUGGCAAACCAAAAUUCCCCUAUGACCUGAAGACAUGCAGAUCGUGACCUGAGAAUUAAGCGCUGUGUUAAGCAGUCAAGCUGUCUCCUUAAGGAAAAGACAAAAAUAGCAAAAGACUAGCUGAGCCAUGGGGUCAGCAUAUGUCAGGUGCAUCCAGGCCCAAUUCAGAGUUGAUCUGUAGCCAUCCAGGGCCAACCCUGACCUAGCCCAGCCUUUCCAGCCAGGGCUUCGUAAGCAGGAGGAUUUUCAGAGGCACUGAACACACAUUGUCCCCACUGCCCCCAGGGAAGAGGAACUUCUAAGCUAUCGUGCUUCCAAAGACACCAGAAGAGAAAAUACCACUUUUUUCCAUCCGGAAUUGGAAAGAUUCUGGUAUUAGAUGAUAGGGGAAAGACAAAGUUAAAUCACUUUACCCUGUGUAUUCCCAACUGCAAAAAUGCCCUCUCACCCUCCCUGCCUCUGCCCAAGGGUUCCUCCCUUGCAGGUGCCACAGUCCUGAAAAGUCUGGAGAUAGAGAGGAAAGAGACGGAGAAAGGGAAAUUAAAAUGUGAAACAAAGUUUUUGAACUAAAUGUUUAAAGACCUUGCUUUAAUCUGCAAGGCAGAGGAGAAGUUGCUUUGCAAAAGACGAAGGUCAGCGGAGAAACAACUCCAAACAUCAGAGAUGAAGAGGAGGCAUGCAGGGAGAAGAGGGGAGUGUGAAACAGCUGCCUGGGGGAGCUUAAAAGGGAUGCUCAGCAUGCACAAAACACUCUAAUUUUGCCAUAGCGGAUCUGCUUGUGCCAAAUUCCCACACAGAAAAAUCUCAAGGACAUGAGAUUGACCUGGGUAUCAUGAUUUUACUUUUGCUUUCUUCACUGCAAGCCGCAUUUAGCUUGUAAAUAGGUUUUGUUUUCUGAAGUACUUAUUUUAUUCCUUACAAAAUAUUUUUAAUAGUUGAUCAAUAUGAAGUUUCUCCAUGAAGUUACAAUACAAUUCCUGCUGGAUUAAAAUUGGACAUUUCUCCAUUUAUUGGGACAUUGCCAAAUGCUGUUACAAGGAACGCUCAACUCUAAUGAACUUUUAUUCAGGGUCCCAAGGUGCUCGUUACAGAGAGGUGUAUGUAUGCAUAUAUAUAUGUUAAAUUAGGCAACAAAAGAAUCCCAAGCUGCAUAAGACCUGCUUAAAAAGCAGAAUUUCCAAUCUGGAGGGAAUCUUGAUAUUUCAACUUUCAUUUCCGUCCUGAAACAGGCCAAGAAAUCAAAAUAUCAAUGAAAUAAAUUGGUGGAACCCAAAGUUCAGAGUAAUUUAGGUUUGGAAAUGUAUAUAGACAAAAUGCUGAUGCUUCCAAUUGAAAAUAUAAUGGUCCCAGGUUGAAAAAUCCUGGAAUACGAUCCUCGUCUCACAUGGAUAAAAAUCAAGAAUAAUUCUGCUAGAAAUCCAUGAAGUUACACUGCUGUAAGUCUUCACACGGGUAAUAAAAAUACCCAGAAUUACAAGCAUUUUAUAAAGCCAAGAGCUUUGGAAAGUGCUACACUUUCAAGCUUCGGGGCAUAAAGCAACCUAGGAAUUAGGAGGAAAGUUUCAUGGCUCAUCCCUGCUGCUGCGAUGCUGGAGGCCAGGCAGUUGCACAGCCUCACCGGGGCGACGGGGAGCAUGGCUGACAGCCGCUCAGGCUAAAUGCAGGAGCAGCGAGCAGCUAUAGCCUCUUUAAUUUAGCAAAAGCUGGAAUCGUGUCUCAGAUCACAUGUGGGAUAGUGGAUACAGCUCAGGAAUGGCAGGGUCCGAGCUGUCUGCUGGGCUCUCAAGCAGCUGUCAGACCCAGCAGAAGGCAGCAGGCUGCUCUGCAGCUCUCCACGAAUGCAGGAGACACAGUGGGAAAUACUAGCUGUCAGAGGCAGCCAGGCAAUCUCUGGCAAUGCAGUCCCGAGGAAAACGGAGACAAACUGUCUGCGCAGCACGCCGAAUGCAGAGGGCUUGGACCUGUGAGCAGAGAAACUCUCUCUGGAUGUUUGACUCCUCUCCAGAGUCCAGGAAAUGAGAAUUUAGAUAUAUUCCUUGCGAGUGUCAUGAAGUGUCAUCGAAGAAACAUGCCAUUCCACUAUCAGCUGCUCCUUGAGCUGAAGACAACUCAAAAAACUCCUCCUGUUUGUUUUGUUUUGAGUUUUUUUCGGUUUGUUUUUUAAACAAGAUUCUUUCAAAAGGCCACAGCCUUCAGGCCACAAGCUAAUCUUUAACUGCCCACUUAAUUUUUCUGGGCCAUCUGGCACCGACCAUUGCUGGAAGCUGUUGCUUUGUUGAAAAAAAACAUGGACAUUCCCCUGCAAAGUUGUUUCCCCAGAGGACUCGGGGGUGGCUGGGGCUCUGGGCAAGGCAGGCAGCUCUUUGCAUCACCAGAGAGCCAAGGCCACCAAAAUCACCAGCUGGUUUCUGCCAAAAACACAGAAAUUGAUACAAGGUUCUACUGCUAUCACUUCUAAAGGGGGAAGCAGGUAUGCACAGACUUUCUGCCCAGUUUCCACUGUCUGUUCUGAAGAUCAUCCCCACGCCUGGAGCAGCAGAAUUACAGCAGUGGGAAGCUGUGGUCUAGUCACCACUGGGCCUCAAAUCUGGCAUAUGAUAAACACUUGGAGCCCUGCAAAGCUCAGAGCUGUGCUUUUGCAUCCAAGGUCUAUGUUAAUUUGUCCCAAAUCUAGUCAGUCUAACUUCUGAACAUGACUGCAGCUGGUGUUCCUAGAAGCUGGUUAGGGAGAGAGACUAAAGCCUCAGAGUGCCUCAUCUGCAGGCACCGAUUUAGGGCUCAACGCUGGGACUAACCCACAGAUCUUAUUUUUUUAAAAAUUGAGAUCCCCAUCUGAUCAUUUGAAAUAUGCUAAUGCUCUGAAUAUUAGAUCAUAAAGUACAAGAAAUAGCUUAGGGAAAUUAAUGGCCUUACUUUAAAUUUGAGAUUUUUUUAAAGGGAUUUAAAAAAUAAAAGAACAAAAAUUACAUUUUGUGGAGAAACUAACAUACAUGUCCAAGAAAGAAUGCAGAAUUCAGUGAAGCAAGAAUUUUCCAGAUAACUUCAGAACUGAGCUGAGAAAAGCUACCAAACUUCCUGAAGAAAGUGGCUUUGAAGUGAUUUUCACCCAACUAAAUUAUGUCACCAUCUGAGUGAGAGAAUGGAAAGGAAAGGUCAGUCAAAAAGAUUCCCAUGGAAUGGCUGGCAUCGUUCAUUCCUGCCUUAUUUCCUGCUCCCGUUUCAGUAGCCACCUUCCUGAGCUGUCCCCAUCCUACAAGUCUCCUCUAGGCCAAAGAGCAAUUUCUGUAAGGUCAAGCACACUGGAAUUGCAACAAAGAUCAAACUAUGUCUUUGAAAUCUCCCACAAAAUAUGGCCAGUAUUUUCCACACAAUUCUACCAAAACUUUCCAAAUCUCAGGCUAGCACCUCAGCUUUAAUAUUACUUCUCUUGCCUAGACUAGGAAAUAACAUCCAUUUCAGGAAUUAUUGAGAAAGCUAGAAAAUCUGGAAUGAAUGAAAUAACUUGCAAUCAGGACAAAAAGAAAAAAGUCCAACUUCAGAAACCAGCUGGAUGGAGCCAAAAUUUAAGGCAAUGGUAUUUAUUGAAUAAAAGGAAAGUCUGAACUAAUCUCUCACCCAAAACCUAACCACAGCCUCUGGACUCAACAGGGUCAGGAUAUUUUCCCAUAGUAUCAACACCGCAACUGGAACUGGGAAGAACCAUGACUGUCAAAGAAAACACAAAUUUUCAUUCAGUUUCCAAUACAACUUUCAUAUCAAAGUGAUACUUACACUUCAGUAAAAUAUUUUGAUCUUUGUGAUGCUUAACUGAAUGGAAUCAUCACAUCUUCAGAGCUGUGCACAAUGAGAACCUAAAUUCUGAAUGCUCGUUGCUGGAAAGAUUGCUUGCUAUUUUUAUUCUAGUUAUUUUCUGAUUUAAGAAGAAAGUUGAAUUUACUCUGUUGAAACCAAAAGAAAUGUUGUUUAAAGGUAUGGCAAGAUAUACAUAUAAAAUAUGAUCUUAAUGGAAUACAUACAACAGUCGUUACAGUAACCUGAUGAGUUCCAGAAGUGGACUUGAUACAGUACAGCAAAGGCAACCAUCCUGGUAGGUAUGUUAUGCCAAAAUAGCAGAGGUUUCAAGAAAUAAAAACAUCUGAUCAAAAAAAAAAAAAAAAAAAAACAUAGGGAGGGAAAAUACAAGGUAUGCACAGAGCAAAUGGAGAUUGCAUUAGAGAACAAAAUAAUUUAGUAAAAAGCACAAUUAGUCUUGCAGGUUUGCAUGCUGAAGUUUCUAAGCCUGAGUUCCUGAGCGGUGAUGUGCAAACCACCAACAACCAGUAAAUCUUUGGUGGCUGCCCACUGUCAGCUGGCUGGCUAUUGCCUUUCUCAUCCCAGUCUGUUACAUCACACUGAAGAUGUAUUUAAUGGUUGUCAGACUUAACAAAGCAACUACUAUCAUUGGUAUUUACAAAACUGCACAUGGAAAAUAAAUCAGAUAAACAGUAAAAACUUGUUUCACUUCUCCACCUAUAUUGAGAUACAGAGAUGUCCAUGUUAAAAAAUAAAAAAGAAAGGGUCUCUCUCUUGUCUGUUCAAAAACUUUGCAUUUGCGAAAUUUGCACCAGCAAGAUUGAGCGGUCAACUGGAGACCAAACCACAGCUGAUAUAUCAGUCAAUGCAGCAUUUAAAAAGAGUUCACAAAGGAAAAAGUAAUUUUGACUCCUGGCUUAAAGAAAUUCCUGGCAAAGGCAGAAACUAUGCUAGACCCCCAAAUAACCAAACACCCAUCUACUGCAUAUGGAAAUUAUUCUGCCACCAUUUUACUGCUCCAGCAGAGGUGGUGCAUGGCCCUUUCGAAGCUUUGGCUCUUUUCAAAGGCUAUUAUUCUAAAUGUUUUAAUACUGGGAACUGCAUGAAGCUGGCAAUUACGGAAUUAGAGUUCAGUGAGGGGAAUGUCACUUUGAAAUCAUUUAGCUCAGUUCAUUUCCUUUUCAAGCGCAAUAGAAAGCAGAUGGAGCAGGGAGGGCCAACAUGCCACAGAAGAACUCCCCAGGCCUUGGCCAGCACUCUCCUCCCCAAGACUAACAGAGGGGUCACCAAAUCCUCACAGAGAUAUUAUCCUUUGAGAGAAGCACAUGAUAGAAUUCAGCCAGGAUCCUGGUCUUUGGAGCAAGUCGCCUCACUCCUAGGUUUGUCUUACAUAUUGAACAUGAGACCUAAAUUGCCAACAAGGUCAACAGGGACAAAAAGCUCAUGCUGUAAGGUCAGUGCAGGGAAGCCAAAGAGAGGCCAGAGGAGCACAGCAGGAAGAUUAAGUGCUUUGGGAAAGAGAGCCUUAAGAGAGAAAGAGGCCUCCAAACAGUUGUCUACUAUGAAGGAAAGGUUGUUACCAAAAGAAAGCUUUGCCAUAUGCAGCAAGAGCUGAACAACAAAUUGUAAGCUUGACUUGCUGCAAGGAUACAUUGAGGUAAAAAAUGAGUAGGAAAAAAA
Long non-coding RNA from Oxyura jamaicensis (ruddy duck), 9646 nucleotides. RefSeq lists it as uncharacterized. NCBI's taxonomy places the organism in Eukaryota, Metazoa, Chordata, Aves, Anseriformes, Anatidae. The transcript is spliced from 3 exons. The record is from RefSeq and is a predicted model, not a curated record.